This is a long non-coding RNA of Suricata suricatta (meerkat), 330 nucleotides long. RefSeq lists it as uncharacterized. The record is from RefSeq and is a predicted model, not a curated record. The transcript has 4 exons. NCBI's taxonomy places the organism in Eukaryota, Metazoa, Chordata, Mammalia, Carnivora, Herpestidae.
GUCAAGAGUCCAAUGCUCAACCGACUGAGCCACCCAGGUUUUGGAAAAUAAAGGUGAAGAACCAUAAAAGACAGAAAUGGCAGUUACAGAGAAGUUUUGAGAAGUCAUCAAAAACAAGAGAAGUCUGAGAAACUCACAGCACAGAGGAGCCCAAGAAGACAUGACAACUAAAUGUAAUGGUAUCCUGGAUGGAUCCUGGAACAAUAACAACAAAAGGACUUAAGAUACCAGUCUUCUGAUAUUGAUAUUUCCAAGUCCCUGAGAAGUUGGUCAAGCUAUUAAUUACCAUCCACAAAUAGAUUAAUAUUCUAGGCCAUUUCUCCUUGAAGU